This 253-nucleotide ribosomal RNA is filed under the name uncultured bacterium. Its description in RNAcentral is "partial 16S ribosomal RNA". It matches the Rfam family "Bacterial small subunit ribosomal RNA", at positions 524 to 776 of the family's 1533-position model. The record is from RNAcentral.
UACGGAGUGUGCAAGCGUUGUUCGGAAUCAUUGGGCGUAAAGCGCGUGUAGGCGGUCCUGUAAGUCAGGUGUGAAAGCCCCCGGCUCAACCGGGGAAGUGCACUUGAAACUGCAGGACUUGAGUUCGGUAGGGGGGAGCGGAAUUCCCAGUGUAGAGGUGAAAUUCGUAGAUAUUGGGAGGAACACCAGUGGCGAAGGCGGCUCCCUGGACCGAAACUGACGCUGAGACGCGAAAGCGUGGGUAGCAAACAGG